This is a long non-coding RNA of Anguilla rostrata (American eel), 707 nucleotides long. RefSeq lists it as uncharacterized. The record is from RefSeq and is a predicted model, not a curated record. NCBI's taxonomy places the organism in Eukaryota, Metazoa, Chordata, Actinopteri, Anguilliformes, Anguillidae. The transcript has 2 exons.
AAUAUAGACAAAGCUAGUGAGAAGCAAUGGCGUAUGAAGCGUACCAAACAGAUAUAGAGUAACUGAAUAGCUAUCUAUAGAUGUUUGAUAAAGAUCAGCAUGCCGUGUUUUGACCAGUUAGUAAUUAAAAUAGAUCACAUGCAAGAUUUUUCUGUGUGUGACAUAGGCCCUAUAUAAAACUAACGCAGCGCGGUGGAUGGCUUAGAGCCAACCAAACAAACGAAACUUGUACAUUAAUCAUUAAACACAAUAACCGUCACAGUUACAUACAUCCAAUCGUAAAUGUGGCUAAAUUCGGUCCGUUGCUAAUUAUACUAAGCCCAGAGUUACAGCCCUACUUGAGUGUCGUUUGCUUUGGGUUGGUUGUUAGAAAAGUGUUUCCUGGUUUCCAGUGCGAAGUCUGUGGAGGUUGGUGGUGGAAAGGGGAAGCUGGCCGCCCUUUCUGUUCCAAAACACGCAACCGGAUCCUCCGCUAGUCGCUUGCUUCUUGGGACUCGCUCUGCAGGAUGCGUCGCGCUUUGUAGCGCCUCGUUCCACCAGCAGCCACCGAGGAUAUUCGGGCCUGGCUCCGUUGCAGGCCUUGCGAACUGUUCCUGGCGUGUGGACUCACGCGGGAGGGAGACGGGAGAUGGGUGGCGAGUCCAGGGAGAGGACAAUGGAAGCGAGAGCGGAAUGGGAAAGAGAAGAAUGUGAAGAAGAGAAUAGAG